RNAcentral lists this long non-coding RNA (593 nucleotides) under Dasypus novemcinctus (nine-banded armadillo). RNAcentral describes it as "lncRNA (ENSDNOG00000049970.1)". The record is from RNAcentral. Lineage: Eukaryota; Metazoa; Chordata; Mammalia; Cingulata; Dasypodidae.
CUCCCCAAGGCUUUGGCAGGAGGUGUCCCCAUGAGGAUUUUAACGGCAUGCAAACCUGCAAGGCGAGAGCUGCGAUGGUUCCAAAGAAUCCAAAUGCACCUUGCGAUUUGGGACCGACUACGUUUCCUGUACUGCCAAGACAAUGGAUUUGCCAAAUUGUGGGUUAAUGACCUGACAUUCCAUAUGCUGCCUGGACGGCCUGAUGGUGACUUAGGCCGCUUCUCUGGACAUCAGGAGUGGCUGCUUCUCAAGCCUCAGCAUUCGGCAGGAUUCCAAGGACACGUUUAUGACCAUCAUAAUUGUGAGUUAGCGAUCUCCCAGGCCAAGCGAAAUGAAAUUAUGAGAAACUGAAAUGUGUUUUAAUUGGAGCAUUUAUGGAAGAAAGAAGUCAGAGUGGCUGCUUUUUUCCUUUGUGUGACUCUGCGGUCCGUGGCAAUACCUGUGCCCAGGACACCAGGACUGGAUGAGCUUGGGCCAAGCUAACAGUGGAGAGAAGAGCAGAGAGAAUGAGGUAGGUGUGUCAAGAAGGAGUCAUUUUCUUAGCUUAAAAAAAAAAUGGAGGUACAGUCGCCGGCGUUCCGCCUCACCGACCA